UGGGGAAUUUUGGACAAUGGGCGAAAGCCUGAUCCAGCAAUGCCGCGUGUGUGAAGAAGGCCUUCGGGUUGUAAAGCACUUUUGUCCGGAAAGAAAUCCUUGGCUCUAAUACAGUCGGGGGAUGACGGUACCGGAAGAAUAAGCACCGGCUAACUACGUGCCAGCAGCCGCGGUAAUACGUAGGGUGCAAGCGUUAAUCGGAAUUACUGGGCGUAAAGCGUGCGCAGGCGGUUUGCUAAGACCGAUGUGAAAUCCCCGGGCUCAACCUGGGAACUGCAUUGGUGACUGGCAGGCUAGAGUAUGGCAGAGGGGGGUAGAAUUCCACGUGUAGCAGUGAAAUGCGUAGAGAUGUGGAGGAAUACGAUGGCGAAGGCAGCCCCCUGGGCCAAUACUGACGCUCAUGCACGAAAGCGUGGGGAGCAAACAGGAUUAGAUACCCUGGUAGUCCACGCCCUAAACGAUGUCAACUAGUUGUUGGGGAUUCAUUUCCUUAGUAACGUAGCUAACGCGUGAAGUUGACCGCCUGGGGAGUACGGUCGCAAGAUU
This 546-nucleotide ribosomal RNA is filed under the name uncultured bacterium. RNAcentral describes it as "partial 16S ribosomal RNA". It matches the Rfam family "Bacterial small subunit ribosomal RNA", at positions 355 to 895 of the family's 1533-position model. The record is from RNAcentral.